This is an RNA transcript of Fragaria vesca subsp. vesca, 3032 nucleotides long. It is a transcript of the gene named probable leucine-rich repeat receptor-like protein kinase At5g49770-like, with no coding region annotated. The record is from RefSeq and is a predicted model, not a curated record. Lineage: Eukaryota; Viridiplantae; Streptophyta; Magnoliopsida; Rosales; Rosaceae. The transcript has 20 exons.
AUGACGUGGCGAAUUCCUAUUCGCGGCACAGGGUUGGCACAUGGAAAUCUGGAACAGAAAAAGCUGGCUGGUAAGGUGACUAAGAAGGUUUUGCUUCCCAUUUGUUAUACAGAAAUGGGUCGUGCCAAUCGUGUGUUUCGGCUACUCCUGUUAUUCCUAUUGUUUGUUAUUGCGGCAGAGGGAACUGUCGAGGAGUAUACUACUAUUAUGAUCCUCCAAGACGAGUGGAAAAUAAAACCUCCAAGUUGGGUUGGUUCUGAUCCUUGUGGCAACUGGGAAGGCAUCACUUGCACCAAUUCACGCAUCACUACUCUAGCAUUGGCAGACAUGGGUUUGAAAGGCGGGAUACCUAGUGAUAUUGAGACGUUAUCUGAGCUACAGAUUCUGAAUCUGGCUUUCAACGAGGACCUGAAGGGACAACUUCGAGCAUCAAUUGGAAACUUGACCAAACUAAAAACCUUAAAUCUUGAUGGUUGCAGGUUCUCCGGUCAUAUUCCAGCUACAAUAGGAUCUCUAAAGCAACUUACUUAUCUAUCUCUGAAAAACAAUAGAUUUAGUGGUCCAAUUCCACCUUCCAUUGGCAAUCUAGCCAAUCUUGUCUUUCUGGACCUAUCGGACAACAUGCUUGGGGAUUCCAUUCCAGUCUCUAAUGGGACUGCACCUGGUCUUGAUAUGUUAAAUAAAACAAAGCACUUUCAUUUUUCAAAUAACCAGCUCUCGGGCAGCAUUCCACCUCAACUGUUCAGCUCAAAUAUGUCUCUGGUACAUUUGAUUUUUGACAGAAAUAAUUUUACUGGCAGCAUCCCUUCCACACUCGGACUUGUGAAAACUCUGGAGGCAGUACUCCUUUAUAGAAAUUCAUUAAGUGGGCCAGUACCUUCGAGCCUCAGAAAUCUUACUAAGGUGUCUGAACUACAAUUGUCCAACAAUAAGCUGACUGGUCCUAUGCCCAACCUUACUCUCAUGGAUUCCCUCCACUAUGUGGAUAUGAGUAAUAAUACUUUUGAUGCGUCAGAUGUUCCCAAUUGGUUUUCAACCUUGAAGUUCUUGACAACAUUAAUGAUGGAAAACACAGGACUUCAGGGACAAGUCCCUCAAUCCCUUUUCAGCCUUCAAGAUUUGGAGACAGUGAGACUAAAGAACAACGGUCUCAAUGGUACAUUGGAUAUUGGAACCAAUUACAGCAGCCAAUUGAACCUAAUUGAUCUGCAGAUGAACAACAUUUCUGAUGUUGCACCGAUUGAUGAGGAGCACAACUACACAUUGAUUCUAGUUGACAAUCCAAUUUGCAAGGGGAGUCAGAAUAACAUGGCAAAUAACUACUGCAAUGUUUCUCCUCCUAAUUCCUCAGUUUCAACUACACCAAGUAAUUGUGAUACCUGUAGAUCUGGCCAGGUUGCUUCCCCCAACUGUAAAUGUGCAUCUCCCUACACACGAACUCUAGUCUUCUUAUUUGUUUCUUUCUCAAACCUGGAUAACGUCAAUUAUUACAAAGCUCUCUCGGACAAUCUCACAAGAUAUUUUCAGUCCAGAAACCUUCCUGUGGAUUCAGUUUCACUGAGUCAUCCGAGCUGGAGCCCAUCUAAUCAACUGGAAAUUAUCAUGGAAAUGUUCCCAUCCGGUGAUCAAGUUAGCUUCAACCAAACAGAAACUUCAGCGAUUACUUCUGUUCUAAGCAACCAGACUCUAGAGGGGCGUCCUAUUCAUUUUGGACCCUACUCUUUUCUUGUUCUUUACACCAACUCUGGAGGAUCAAACAAGGCCGUGAUUAUCGGAACGGCAAUUGGUGGUUCUGUGCUCCUUUCCUUAUUAGUCCUUGUAGGGCUUUAUGCUCUCCACCAGAAGAGGAAAGAAGAUGAGACAUUGAGCGGAUCGAUCCUUUUGACAGGGUUUUCAAAUAGCACUGCUGGUGGUCCUCAACUAAAAGGAGCAAGAUUGUUCUCAUUUGAAGAGCUCAAGAAAUGCACAGAUGGUUUUUCAGAAGCAAAUGAUAUUGGAUCUGGAGGUUAUGGACAGGUGUAUAAGGCAAUUCUUCCAACAGGCCAAAUGGUUGCCAUUAAAAGAGCUAAACGGGAAUCCAUGCAGGGAGGAGUUGAGUUCACAGCCGAGGUUGAGCUCCUAUCGCGAGUACAUCAUAAGAAUCUUGUUGGUCUUGUAGGUUUUUGUUUUGAGCAAGGAGAGCAAAUAUUGGUAUAUGAGUAUGUUCCAAAUGGUGAUUUGAGGGACACCCUUUCAGGGAAGUCCGGAAUCAGGUUGGACUGGAUGAGAAGACUUCAAAUAGCACUUGGUGCAGCAAGAGGUCUGGCAUAUCUUCAUGAACUUGCAAACCCGACCAUUAUACACCGGGACAUCAAAUCAAACAACAUACUACUCGAUAAAGAUUUAAAUGCAAAAGUUGCUGAUUUUGGUCUCUCCAAGUCAUUUGCUGAUAGUGGAACUGGAAUGGACCACUUAUCUACUCAAGUUAAAGGGACACUGGGCUACUUGGAUCCGGAAUAUUAUAUGACUCAACAGUUGACUGAGAAGAGUGACGUCUAUAGCUUCGGCGUGGUAAUGUUGGAGCUGAUAACUGCUAGAAGGCCAAUAGUGCAAGGGCAAUAUAUAGUGAGAGUGGUACAGAUGAGAAUGGAUAAGUCGAAAGAUUUGUACGACCUUGAUGACAUUCUUGACCCUUUCAUUGGUUUAGGAACAGAGCUGAAAGGUGUAGAAAUGUUUGUGGAUUUGGCAAUGUCUUGUGUAGAAGAAUUAAGGGAUAAAAGACCAAGAAUGGGGGAAGUGGUGAAACAGAUAGAGAACCUUAUACAAAUUGCUGGUUUGAACGCCAGUAUUAAUCCAUUGUCCACUUCAGCAAGGUAUGAGGAAUAUGAGAGUAAGGACAGCAACGAGGAUAUUUACAGCAGACCCUUUGAUUAUAGUGGAGUUUUUGAGGGAUGAAGAUGGAAGUCUAGUGAGUUUAUGAUAACAUAAUUUAUGUAAAGUUUGAACAAACCUUGAUUUUGGUCUCCUUAUUGUGGGUUCUUUUUCUCUAAUGG